Molecule: long non-coding RNA, 804 nt
Filed under: Salmo salar (Atlantic salmon)
Lineage: Eukaryota; Metazoa; Chordata; Actinopteri; Salmoniformes; Salmonidae
Description: lncRNA (ENSSSAG00000110517.1)
Source: RNAcentral
AGCACCUCUCCUAAACAGGUGUUCUACUCUGCUAUCCAGCACCUCUCCUAAACAGGUGUUCUACUCUUCUAUCCAGCACCUCUCCUAAACAGGUGUGCAUUUCUUUCACCUCGAGGUUAUUAUCUAUAAUAUCUCCUAAGUUAAUGCAUUAAAUCUUUUUGCAAAUCCUCUGAGCUGAAGCCUGGGCAUUAACAUUGGGAACGACAGCAAGUCUUCAGGUCUCAGGCUGAAGGUUAUUCAUUAGUUCAUUGUGGUUCUCCAAAAAACUUCCAAGAAGUGAUGAAAGCUUGAGAGACAUCGGCUGAGAAACAGGUAGAACAGGGAAGGAUAUCCAUGGCUGCUAUCCCUCAAUCAGUUUUUUUCCUGUUGGAUGAGAUGAGAAGAGGUGUACGUGACUCUCUCUCUGAACAAUGUUGGGAAAGCAGAAGAUUAGAAUGUAAGGGGUUUAUGAUUGUGGCUUAAAGGCCCAGAGCAGUCAAAAACGUGAUUUACCUGUCUUUUAUAUGCACUCACAGGCCAGUUUAUUAGGUACACCCCUCCCCCCGUUCACAAAAAUUAAACGCUCAUACAGACAGUGAGUCACGUGGUCGUGGCUUGCUAUAUAAAGCAGGCAGACAGGCAUCGAGGCAUUCAGUUACUGUUCGGUGUUAGAAUGGGCAAAAAGCGACUUUGAGAGUGGUGUGAUCGUUGGUGCCAGGCGUGCCGGUUCCUGUAUCUCAUGCAAAAACGAAAACGGCUCGUUGAUGAGCGGUCAAAGGAAAAUGGCAAGAAUUGUGCAAGCUAACAGGCGGGCCACAAACAGAC